GCACUUUCAAUAGCAAGGAGAUACGCCUAUAUUACGAGGGUCGGGCAACCGACUAUGGCGAUAAACGUCAUGCUUAUUACCCGUUGCGGACCCGGGGGCAGUACCCGGCGCCUCCACCAUUUCCCCGACCACAGCUUUGCGUGUCACGGGCAGGCUUUGUUGUGGGGGCGAUACAGGAUCGACGUGCGUGGAAACGGUAUGAUUUUCGCACGGCAUGGUACCACCGUUAUCGGGCCGAUCGUUAAUUGCGAACGAUAACCAAAUCGCACUCGCUGCCUAGUAUUAGGUAAGCGCGGUCCGGGGGACACCGGGCAACAGAAGUCCCCCACU
This 330-nucleotide transfer-messenger RNA is filed under the name Rhodospirillaceae bacterium. It matches the Rfam family "Alphaproteobacteria transfer-messenger RNA". Rfam says of the family: Bacterial tmRNA, also known as 10Sa RNA or SsrA, is named for its dual tRNA and mRNA-like properties. Its role is to liberate the mRNA from a stalled ribosome. The record is from RNAcentral. Lineage: Bacteria; Pseudomonadati; Pseudomonadota; Alphaproteobacteria; Rhodospirillales; Rhodospirillaceae.